Molecule: non-coding RNA, 326 nt
Organism: Camellia sinensis
Lineage: Eukaryota; Viridiplantae; Streptophyta; Magnoliopsida; Ericales; Theaceae
Source: RefSeq, a predicted model, not a curated record
UUGACAAAUGCGAAUGAAGGACUAGAAAUAGCGAAACGCAACGCAACGCAACGCAACCAGUAUCUAACAUACGAGUAACUGAGAGGAAGCAUCGCAGCCAUCGACCAAUUUCAAUUGUCACUUUCUCAGAGAGAGACCAGAGAGAGAAUGAGCGGGGAAGGCAAGACUGUGUGCGUGACGGGUGCGUCCGGGUUCAUAGCCUCAUGGCUGGUCAAGUUGUUGCUCCAACGUGGUUACACUGUUCGAGCCUCUGUUCGCGACCCUUCUGAUCAGAAGAAGACAGACCACUUACUUGCACUUGAUGGAGCCAAGGAGAGACUUCACUU